Molecule: ribosomal RNA, 240 nt
Filed under: uncultured bacterium
Lineage: Bacteria
Description: partial 16S ribosomal RNA
Rfam family: Bacterial small subunit ribosomal RNA
Source: RNAcentral
AGCGGCGGACGGGUGAGUAACGCGUGGGUAACCUGCCUCGUACAGGGGGAUAACAGUUAGAAAUGACUGCUAAUACCGCAUAAGACCACAGCACCGCAUGGUGCAGGGGUAAAAACUCCGGUGGUAUGAGAUGGACCCGCGUCUGAUUAGCUAGUUGGUAAGGUAACGGCUUACCAAGGCGACGAUCAGUAGCCGACCUGAGAGGGUGACCGGCCACAUUGGGACUGAGACACGGCCCAA